CUAUGCUGUGGUUUCUGGACCAGCAGGAAAAUCAGAAGACAAAUUUAGGAACCCUGCCCUAGUCCUCUGGGCAAAGCAUUCCUCCUCCUCAGGCUAUCCUGACAACUCCAGCCUAUCUGUUGGCCCUCAUCCAGUGGCUGAUGGAAGCAGAGACAGACAUCCACAGAUAUACACUGAGCUGAAAUCUGGAAUUUAGUUGAAGAGAGGGAGGAAUGAAGAUCGAAGGAGUUUGUACCAGGUUGGAGAAACCUACACAAACAGUUGACCUGAACAAGAGGGAGCACAUCGACCCCAGAUGCUGUCUGGGAGGCCAGUACAAGACUGAUCCAGACCCCUGAACAUGGAUGUCAAUAAGGAGGCCUCUGUACUCCAGGAAGCCUCUGGAAGUGGAUUAGUAUUUUUCCCUGGUGUAAGAAGGAACUUUGAGAGCCCAUCCCACGUGAAGGGAUACACUCUGGCCCUGGACACAUGGGGAAGGCCUCAGGCCCAGCACAGGA
Molecule: long non-coding RNA, 497 nt
Filed under: Cricetulus griseus (Chinese hamster)
Lineage: Eukaryota; Metazoa; Chordata; Mammalia; Rodentia; Cricetidae
Description: lncRNA (ENSCGRG00015034664.1)
Source: RNAcentral